Molecule: ribosomal RNA, 312 nt
Filed under: uncultured Archaeospora
Lineage: Eukaryota; Fungi; Glomeromycota; Glomeromycetes; Archaeosporales; Archaeosporaceae
Description: SSU rRNA
Rfam family: Eukaryotic small subunit ribosomal RNA
Source: RNAcentral
AGCAGCCGCGGUAAUUCCAGCUCCAAUAGCGUAUAUUAAAGUUGUUGCAGUUAAAAAGCUCGUAGUUGAAUUUUGGGUUUGGCCGAUUGGUCCGUUCUUGUAGCGAGUACUGGUCGGUUGGGCCUCACCGCUUGGUGAUGCGUAAUGUCCUUUAUUGGGUGUUGCGAGUAGCCAAGACCUUUACCUUGAAAAAAUUAGAGUGUUUAAAGCAGGCUUAUGCCAGAAUACAUUAGCAUGGAAUAAUAGAAUAGGACGAUUUAUCUAUUUUGUUGGUUUCUAGGAAAAUCGUAAUGAUUAAUAGGGAUAGUUGGG